RNAcentral lists this ribosomal RNA (254 nucleotides) under uncultured bacterium. RNAcentral describes it as "partial 16S ribosomal RNA". It matches the Rfam family "Bacterial small subunit ribosomal RNA", at positions 524 to 776 of the family's 1533-position model. The record is from RNAcentral.
CACGUAGGGGGCAAGCGUUGUCCGGAUUCAUUGGGCGUAAAGAGCUCGUAGGCGGUUCGAUAAGUCGGGUGUGAAACCUCCAGGCUCAACCUGGAGACGCCACCCGAUACUGUCGUGACUAGAGUCCAGUAGGGGAGCGUGGAAUUCCUGGUGUAGCGGUGAAAUGCGCAGAUAUCAGGAGGAACACCAGCGGCGAAGGCGGCGCUCUGGGCUGGAACUGACGCUGAGGAGCGAAGGCGUGGGGAGCGAACAGG